CGCAUCUGUGCAUGCAGCAUAUCAAUAAGCGGAGGAAAAGAAACUAACAAGGAUUCCCCUAGUAACGGCGAGUGAAGCGGGAAGAGCUCAAAUUUGAAAUCUUAAAGGGUUUCCCUUUACGAAUUGUAGUUUAAAGAAGUGUUUUCUGUUGAGGUUUUGGUAAAAGUUCUUUGGAAUAGGACAUCAUAGAGGGUGAGAAUCCCGUAUUUGACCUUUACUUUCAACUUUGUGAUACACUUUCAAAGAGUCGGAUUGUUUGGGAAUGCAGUCCAAAAUGGGUGGUAAAUUUCAUCUAAAGCUAAAUAUUGGCGAGAGACCGAUAGCGAACAAGUACCGUGAGGGAAAGAUGAAAAGGAACUUUGAAAAGAGAGUUAAACAGUACGUGAAAUUGUCAAAAGGGAAGCGUUUGACACCAGUGUUGUUUUUCUGAAAAUCAAUUAAAGAACUGUUUAUGCUAAGUUGUUUAGACUUUAUCAGCUAACUGUUUAGUUUUGAGCUUUUCUUUAAUGCACUUUUCAGUUAACAAGUCAACAUCAAUUUCUUUUGCUGUAAAAAAGCUUGAGGAAGGUGGCUUGAGAUUCGUCUUAAGUGUUUAUAGCCUCUUGCCUAUGCAGUCGGAGAGAUUGAGGUCUGCAGCGUAGAUCCUUCGGGGCUAAAUGCAUUUGUGCUAAGUUAUAGCAUUUCAUAGACAACUUGUUGACUAUGAUUUGUCUUGUAGCUUACUCGCUUAUGUUAUUUUACCUACGCUUAGGAUGUUGACAGCAGUAUAGACUGU
Molecule: ribosomal RNA, 775 nt
Filed under: uncultured Neocallimastigales
Lineage: Eukaryota; Fungi; Neocallimastigomycota; Neocallimastigomycetes; Neocallimastigales
Description: partial large subunit ribosomal RNA
Rfam family: Eukaryotic large subunit ribosomal RNA
Source: RNAcentral